UUCUAUGGCCAUACCACCCUGAACACGCCCGAUCUCAUCUGAUCUCGGAAGAUGAGAGGGGUUUAACUGUUCAGCCGGGUCCAAACAGGACCUGUGAAUGAUAAACUAGAAC
Molecule: ribosomal RNA, 112 nt
Filed under: Erinaceus europaeus (western European hedgehog)
Lineage: Eukaryota; Metazoa; Chordata; Mammalia; Eulipotyphla; Erinaceidae
Source: RNAcentral